Molecule: long non-coding RNA, 838 nt
Filed under: Homo sapiens (human)
Lineage: Eukaryota; Metazoa; Chordata; Mammalia; Primates; Hominidae
Description: non-protein coding lnc-BLID-4:1
Source: RNAcentral
CAGUAGAUUAUGAGUCUCUUUUAUAAAAAUGGUAUGCAUUAUUUAUUCUUCAUAUUCCAUGUCUCACAUUAUAAUAAAUUUUAAAAACUGUUAAAUUGAAUAGAUUUGCCACAAAGUACAGAAAAUUAGUAUUCUAUAAACUCAAAGAGAAGAGGCCAAAUAGAAAUCUGGAAAGCAUUCAUCAAUAAAGAGAGGAAAAAAACAUUGCAAAGUUCUUACUAUAUACCAGAUCUUGUGAUAAUUUAUAUUCCUUCCCUCAUUAAUCCCCCAAAUAAUUGAGCAAAGAAGAUAUUAUGGUCCCCAUUUUACAAAUAAAGAAUCUGAUGUUCAGUAAGGUUAAGUACUCUGCCCAAGUUCAGAGUUAUUAAGCAGCGGACUUUGGUUUGAAAUCUAUAUUGAAUGAUCCCAUUAUCCACAUCCUUACUUUUAUGCAUUCAGUUUUCCACAAGACACUUGAUGGAAUUUCUUAUACUACCUAUAAAUUUUGCUAGAGUAGAACAUUCUGUGUUCCCCCUAAUUGAAUGUUACAGGCCCCUCUGUAAAUUUAGGAAAGUUCCAAAGUGUUCCCUGGAUACUUGUUCUGCCUCUAGCAUGAAAUGUACAAAAGUAGCAGAGAAGAUCCAAACCAGACUUUGCUCUCAGAGUAGGCUGCAUAACUCCCUCUUGUCUUCUCCACUGGUCUACAUCAGUCUUUUGUCUACAACCCUGACUUUUUUAAAAAUGGUAUUGGAUGCUACCAUUAUGGUUAUGGUUAACUGGGGGCAUCAUUGGUGCCUGAGUUUCUACUCAAAUAACAUAAGGGAAAUCAAGAGACCAAGGCCAUGAUGACUCAAGCAGU